Neomonachus schauinslandi (Hawaiian monk seal) is the source of this 268-nucleotide long non-coding RNA. RefSeq lists it as uncharacterized. The transcript has 3 exons. Lineage: Eukaryota; Metazoa; Chordata; Mammalia; Carnivora; Phocidae. The record is from RefSeq and is a predicted model, not a curated record.
GGAUGACGAUCCGACACCAAGGCCAACAGUACAGGCCGAGGAUGGCAUUUCUGCAGAAGGUUUCCAAGCUGCCCCGGGGGUCCUGAACAAUCAGCAGUGCUUGGGCGGAAUGUUGGAAGGGUAACCUGCACGUGAAUGCCCCCUGUGUGGCCCUCCUGCCUUCCCUGGGCUCACUUCCCCAGCUACCUACUGCUGCUUCCCAGAAUCAGUCCUCUCACCAACACUCAGAGGUCCCAUAAUUAUCCCCAUUUUACAGGUAAGGAAACAG